CCCAAAACAACAUGAUUCAAUAUAUGGAAGAAAAUCUCUGAAGGCAGAAUUUUUUAAAUGAGAAGACUCCCAUCUUUUUGAAAGAAAUAUGAACAACUAAGAUGAUGAUGAUCAUUACCACCUCUAUUAAUUUUUCCCUGCAGAAAGUCUAGGAAAGGAGAAUCUACAGUGCAGCAAGUGAGAGAAGAAUCUGUCUUGUAAUCCAAACACAUAACUACUGAUGAAAAAGGAAG
This 233-nucleotide long non-coding RNA is filed under the name Cyanistes caeruleus (blue tit). Its description in RNAcentral is "lncRNA (ENSCCEG00000001747.1)". The record is from RNAcentral. Lineage: Eukaryota; Metazoa; Chordata; Aves; Passeriformes; Paridae.